RNAcentral lists this ribosomal RNA (372 nucleotides) under uncultured organism. Its description in RNAcentral is "bacterial SSU rRNA". It matches the Rfam family "Bacterial small subunit ribosomal RNA", at positions 526 to 896 of the family's 1533-position model. The record is from RNAcentral.
CGGAGGGUGCAAGCGUUGCUCGGAUUUAUUGGGCGUAAAGGGCAGGUAGGUGGUCUCAUUUGUCUGGGGUGAAAGCCUUGAGCUUAACUCAAGAAGUGCCUCAGAAACGGUGAGACUGGAGUCCUAGAGAGGGUCGUGGAAUUCCCGGUGUAGCGGUGAAAUGCGUGGAGAUCGGGAGGAACACCAGAGGCGAAAGCGGCGACCUGGAUAGGUACUGACACUCAACUGCGAAAGCGUGGGGAGCAAACAGGAUUAGAUACCCUGGUAGUCCACGCUGUAAACGAUGGGUACUAGAUUUGGUGGGUCUUGACCCCCGCCGAGUCGGAGCUAACGCACUAAGUACCCCGCCUGGGAAGUACGGUCGCAAGACUA